RNAcentral lists this ribosomal RNA (468 nucleotides) under uncultured bacterium. Its description in RNAcentral is "partial 16S ribosomal RNA". It matches the Rfam family "Bacterial small subunit ribosomal RNA", at positions 28 to 507 of the family's 1533-position model. The record is from RNAcentral.
GACGAACGCUGGCGGCGUGCUUAACACAUGCAAGUCGAACGGAAAGGCCCUGCUUUUGUGGGGUGCUCGAGUGGCGAACGGGUGAGUAACACGUGAGUAACCUGCCCUUGACUUUGGGAUAACUUCAGGAAACUGGGGCUAAUACCGGAUAGGAGCUCCUGCUGCAUGGUGGGGGUUGGAAAGUUUCGGCGGUUGGGGAUGGACUCGCGGCUUAUCAGCUUGUUGGUGGGGUAGUGGCUUACCAAGGCUUUGACGGGUAGCCGGCCUGAGAGGGUGACCGGCCACAUUGGGACUGAGAUACGGCCCAGACUCCUACGGGAGGCAGCAGUGGGGAAUAUUGCACAAUGGGCGGAAGCCUGAUGCAGCAACGCUGCGUGCGGGAUGACGGUCUUCGGGUUGUAAACCGCUUUCGCCUGUGACGAAGCGUGAGUGACGGUAAUGGGUAAAGAAGCACCGGCUAACUACGUG